Molecule: long non-coding RNA, 1598 nt
Organism: Myotis brandtii (Brandt's bat)
Lineage: Eukaryota; Metazoa; Chordata; Mammalia; Chiroptera; Vespertilionidae
Exons: 4
Source: RefSeq, a predicted model, not a curated record
CGGCUACCCGAACUCCUCCUGCUCUGGCUCCCCGUCCCGCUAGGGAGCGGAGAAGUCUAGGAGGAGGACCGUGUGCCGGAAGAAGUCUGGAUUCCACCUGCUAGUUGUGCACAAAAACCUGAAGAAAGUAAAGUAACUGCAAAGCAUGGGACCUGAGCUAGUGGAAUCCCUGGACUGCCUAUUUCUUUCCCAGUGGAGAAAAGAACUGAACCUCACCCCAUCUAGACCGCCAGAGCCUGCUGUGAAACAGGAAUCCAGGUGCAGCUCAGCUGAGUGCCUCUGUGUCAAGAUCUCUCACAAGACUGCAGUGAAGGUGUUGGCUGGGGCUGCAGUCCUAUUUCAUGCCUGACUGGAAAAGGGUCUGUUUCUAAGGUUACUCACAUGGCUGUUGGCAGGAUUCAAUCCUCAAGGGCUGUUGGACAGAGGGCCUUGGUUCUUUGCUCGCUGGAGGCCACCCUCCUGGCUAUGUGGGCCUCUCCAUAAGGCAACCCACAAAAUGGCAGCUGCCUUCCAUCAGAGUGAGCAGGCAAGAGAGAAAGAGAUAGAGAAUGAGAAAAACAGAGAAAGAGAUGGAUGGAAGCCAACGUGUUUUUACCUAAUCUUAGAUGUGACAUCCCAUCGAUUUUGCCUUAUUCUGUUCAUUAGAAGUGAGUCACUAGGCUCAACCCACAAUCAAGAGAAUGAAGACCAGGAGCUAUCUAGAGGGCUGCCUGGUACACAGUUCAAAUCCCAAUUAAUGCCAAAGUUAUGCUAUUUCACCUUUGCAGAGCUCUGCCCUCCCCCAUAUCUGACUUGGACAACUAUGACCCAUUCUUCAGGGCUCCGAGAUCCUCACCCACCAGGACUGAGUUAAGUGGCCCUUGAGCUGCCUCUAUGAUACCCUAGGCUUCUCCAUCAUAGCCUCCACCACACCAAUUACAAGGGCAUGGUCUGCCUCCUGCCCCUUCUGCAAGCUCUGUGCAGGCAGCAGCCUUGUCUCUUCUCCUCAUUGAUGUGGACCCAGACCUAAACUUAAGGCCAGAAAUGUACCAGACACUUAGUAUAUGUAUACUAAACUUAUUAACUGAAUGUUCUUGUAAGACGGCUCUGUUUUCUCUUCUGAUUAAAACUCCUCAGUUGGCUUUUUAUUACAAAGAGUAGGGAGUCCAGACUCAGAAUGGCUUUCAAAUAACUCCCAUGUAUUGUCACUCCCUGACAAUGUGUAUCUCUCAUAUUGAUGUUUCUCUCUGUAUGUCUCUCCCCCUCCCUUCCACUCUCUCUAAAAAAAAUCAAUGGAGCGCUUCUACAAACUCUUGAAUCCACUGAGCUGGUUCGGGGCGGGAACAUGAGCCACCAGACCCCACGGGGAGAGGCGGCACGGCCUUGCAGCGGUCGGAAAGCGAGGGAGGCUCUGUCACGCAGCUGCUUGCAGGCACUAGGGGACGAGAAGUCCCAGAGUCCCGGAGAGGCAAGGAGCCGCAGAGACACCAUUGCUAUUUGCUCCACCCCGUGACUCCCGGAGACCCCGCCCUACCCAAUUUACAUCCCCAUCCAAGCCUUGACAGUGGCACAAAAAGACCCACCUGCACUUUUGAAGCAUAACCCAACAAAUUGCAGAC